RNAcentral lists this unclassified non-coding RNA (329 nucleotides) under soil metagenome. Its description in RNAcentral is "partial contains 5.8S ribosomal RNA, internal transcribed spacer 2, and large subunit ribosomal RNA". The stretch from base 1 to 120 matches the Rfam family "5.8S ribosomal RNA", at positions 35 to 154 of the family's 154-position model. The record is from RNAcentral.
GAUGAAGAACGCAGCGAAAUGCGAUAAAUAAUGUGAAUUGCAGAAUUCAGUGAAUCAUCGAAUCUUUGAACGCACAUUGCGCCCCCUGGUAUUCCGGGGGGCAUGCCUGUCCGAGCGUCAUUACAACCCUCAAGCUCAGCUUGGUGUUGGGCCCCGCCGCCCCGGCGGGCCCUAAAGUCAGUGGCGGUGCCGUCCGGCUCCGAGCGUAGUAAUUCUUCUCGCUCUGGAGGUCCGGUCGUGUGCUCGCCAGCAACCCCCAAUUUUUUUCAGGUUGACCUCGGAUCAGGUAGGGAUACCCGCUGAACUUAAGCAUAUCAAUAAGCGGAGGA